RNAcentral lists this ribosomal RNA (497 nucleotides) under uncultured bacterium. RNAcentral describes it as "partial 16S ribosomal RNA". It matches the Rfam family "Bacterial small subunit ribosomal RNA", at positions 28 to 507 of the family's 1533-position model. The record is from RNAcentral.
GAUGAACGCUGGCGGCGUGCCUAAUACAUGCAAGUCGAGCGAACAGACGAGGAUCUCUCUCCUCUGACGUUAGCGACGGACGGGUGAGUAACACGUAACCUACCUACCUAUAAGACUUGGACAACUUCGGCAAACCGGAGCUAAUACUGGAUACUAUAUCCAACUGGAUGGUUCUAUAGUGAAAGAUGGUUUUUCUGUCACUUAUAGGUCUAUCCGCGCGGCAUUAGCUAGUUGGGAAGGUAACGGCUUACCGAGGAACCGAUGCGUAGCCGACCUGGGAGAGUGGUCGCCCACACUGGAACUGAAACACGGUCCAGACUCCUAAGGGAGGCAGCAGUAGGGAAUCUUACGCAAUGGGCGAAAGCUUGACGGAGCAACGCCGCGUGGGUGAUGAAGGUCUUCGGAUCGUAAAACUCUGUUAUUAGGGAAGAACAAAUGUGUAAGGAAAUAUGCACGUCGUGACGGUACCUAAACAAAAAGCAACGGCUAACUACGUG